This 518-nucleotide ribosomal RNA is filed under the name uncultured Glomus. Its description in RNAcentral is "SSU rRNA". It matches the Rfam family "Eukaryotic small subunit ribosomal RNA", at positions 569 to 1089 of the family's 1831-position model. Lineage: Eukaryota; Fungi; Glomeromycota; Glomeromycetes; Glomerales; Glomeraceae. The record is from RNAcentral.
AGCAGCCGCGGUAAUUCCAGCUCCAAUAGCGUAUAUUAAAGUUGUUGCAGUUAAAAAGCUCGUAGUUGAAUUUCGGGAUCAGUAGGUUGGUCGUGCCACUGGUAUGUACUGGCCUUACUGGUUCCUCCUUCUUGUAGAACUGCAAUGUCAUUAAUUUGGUGUUGCAGGGAAACAGGACUGUUACUUUGAAAAAAUUAGAGUGUUUAAAGCAGGCUAACGCUUGAAUACAUUAGCAUGGAAUAAUGAAAUAGGACGUUCGAUCCUAUUUUGUUGGUUUCUAGGAUUGACGUAAUGAUUAAUAGGGAUAGUUGGGGGCAUUAGUAUUCAAUUGUCAGAGGUGAAAUUCUUGGAUUUAUUGAAGACUAACUACUGCGAAAGCAUUUGCCAAGGAUGUUUUCAUUAAUCAAGAACGAAAGUUAGGGGAUCGAAGACGAUCAGAUACCGUCGUAGUCUUAACCAUAAACUAUGCCGACUAGGGAUCGGAUGACGCUAAUUUUUAAUGACUCAUUCGGCGUCCG